UUGGAUUUAGGGUUUAGUGGUAUC
Molecule: small nuclear RNA, 24 nt
Filed under: Arabidopsis thaliana (thale cress)
Lineage: Eukaryota; Viridiplantae; Streptophyta; Magnoliopsida; Brassicales; Brassicaceae
Description: snRNA_00472
Source: RNAcentral